UGGGGAAUAUUGGGCAAUGGGCGCAAGCCUGACCCAGCAACGCCGCGUGAAGGAAGAAGGCUUUCGGGUUGUAAACUUCUUUUGGCAGGGACGAAAAAAAUGACGGUACCUGCAGAAUAAGCUCCGGCUAACUACGUGCCAGCAGCCGCGGUAAUACGUAGGGAGCAAGCGUUAUCCGGAUUUACUGGGUGUAAAGGGAGCGUAGGCGGGAAUGCAAGUCAGAUGUGAAAUCUGAGGGCUCAACCCUCAAACUGCAUUUGAAACUGCGUUUCUUGAGUGGUGGAGAGGCAAGUGGAAUUCCUAGUGUAGCGGUGAAAUGCGUAGAUAUUAGGAGGAACACCAGUGGCGAAGGCGACUUGCUGGACACUAACUGACGCUGAGGCUCGAAAGCGUGGGGAGCAAACA
RNAcentral lists this ribosomal RNA (405 nucleotides) under uncultured bacterium. RNAcentral's name for it is "bacterial SSU rRNA". It matches the Rfam family "Bacterial small subunit ribosomal RNA", at positions 355 to 774 of the family's 1533-position model. The record is from RNAcentral.